Molecule: ribosomal RNA, 656 nt
Filed under: uncultured Staphylococcus sp.
Lineage: Bacteria; Bacillati; Bacillota; Bacilli; Caryophanales; Staphylococcaceae
Description: bacterial SSU rRNA
Rfam family: Bacterial small subunit ribosomal RNA
Source: RNAcentral
GUGCCUAAUACAUGCAAGUCGAGCGAACGGACGAAAGCUUGCUUCUCUGAUGUUACGGCGGACGGGUGAGUAACACGUGGAUAACCUACCUAUAAGACUGGGAUAACUUCGGGAAACCGGAGCUAAUACCGGAUAAUAUUUUGAACCGCAUGGUUCAAAAGUGAAAGACGGUCUUGCUGUCACUUAUAGAUGGAUCCGCGCUGCAUUAGCUAGUUGGUAAGGUAACGGCUUACCAAGGCAACGAUGCAUAGCCGACCUGAGAGGGUGAUCGGCCACACUGGAACUGAGACACGGUCCAGACUCCUACGGGAGGCAGCAGUAGGGAAUCUUCCGCAAUGGGCGAAAGCCUGACGGAGCAACGCCGCGCGAGUGAUGAAGGUCUUCGGAUCGUAAAACUCUGUUAUUAGGGAAGAACAUAUGUGUAAGUAACUGUGCACAUCUUGACGGUACCUAAUCAGAAAGCCACGGCUAACUACGUGCCAGCAGCCGCGGUAAUACGUAGGUGGCAAGCGUUAUCCGGAAUUAUUGGGCGUAAAGCGCGCGUAGGCGGUUUUUUAAGUCUGAUGUGAAGGCCCACGGCUCAACCGUGGAGGGUCAUUGGAAACUGGAAAACUUGAGUGCCGAAGAGAAAGUGGAAUCCAUGUUAGCGGUGAAAU